This 544-nucleotide ribosomal RNA is filed under the name uncultured bacterium. Its description in RNAcentral is "partial 16S ribosomal RNA". The record is from RNAcentral.
GGGUACCGUCAUYWUCUUUCCCAAUAAAAGGAGUUUACAACCCGAAGACCUUCAUCCUCCACGCGGCGUCGCUGCAUCAGGGUUUCCCCCAUUGUGCAAUAUUCCCCACUGCUGCCUCCCGUAGGAGUCUGGACCGUGUCUCAGUUCCAGUGUGGCCGUUCAACCUCUCAGCCCGGCUACCCGUCUUUGGCUUGGUGGGCCGUUACCUCACCAACUACCUGAUAGGCCGCAGGCCCGUCCAUGAGCGUAUCGCUACUUUUACCACAAGAUUCACACCCCGUGGUCUUAUGGGGUAUUAGCCCAAGUUUCCCUGGGUUGUCCCCCGCUCAAGGGUAGGUUACCUACGUGUUACUCACCCGUCCGCCACUAAUUCAUAUCAAGUAUUGCUACUCAUUAUGAACCCGUUCGACUUGCAUGUGUUAAGCACGCCGCCAGCGUUCGUUCUGAGCCAUGAUCAAACUCUAAUCGAAUUCCCGCGGCCGCCAUGGCGGCCGGGAGCAUGCGACGUCGGGCCCAAUUCGCCCUAUAGUGAGUCGUAUUACAU